This 190-nucleotide unclassified non-coding RNA is filed under the name Plagiocarpus conduplicatus. Its description in RNAcentral is "internal trancribed spacer 2". The record is from RNAcentral. Lineage: Eukaryota; Viridiplantae; Streptophyta; Magnoliopsida; Fabales; Fabaceae.
AUCGUUGCCCCAUCCCCCCGGUGCCUCGUCGAAGGCGCCGGGCGGGGCGAAUGCUGGCUUCCCGGGAGCGCUGUCUCGCGGUUGGCUAAAAGUCGAGCCCGCGGCGGAGUGCAUCGCGACGGAUGGUGGUUGAGGGAAGCUCGUGACCAGUCGCGCGCGUUGGCCUCCCCGUUUCGGGACUCUGUGACCC